This is a long non-coding RNA of Eriocheir sinensis (Chinese mitten crab), 969 nucleotides long. RefSeq lists it as uncharacterized. NCBI's taxonomy places the organism in Eukaryota, Metazoa, Arthropoda, Malacostraca, Decapoda, Varunidae. The record is from RefSeq and is a predicted model, not a curated record. The transcript is spliced from 2 exons.
GCUCAGGGUGUGGCUGUGGUGGAGGAGGGCCGGACACAUCACAGCCCUGGCUCAGGGUGUGGCUGUGGUGGAGGAGGGCCGGACACAUCACAGCCCUGGCUCAGGGUGUGGCUGUGGUGGAGGAGGGCCGGACACAUCACAGCCCUGGCUCAGGGUGUGGCUGUGGUGGAGGAGGGCCGGACACAUCACAGCCCUGGCUCAGGGUGUGGCUGUGGUGGAGGAGGGCCGGACACAUCACAGCCCUGGCUCAGGGUGUGGCUGUGGUGGAGGAGGGCCGGACACAUCACAGCCCUGGCUCAGGGUGUGGCUGUGGUGGAGGAGGGCCGGACACAUCACAGCCCUGGCUCAGGGUGUGGCUGUGGUGGAGGAGGGCCGGACACAUCACUGCCCUGGCUCAGGGUGUGGCGCAGUGUCCACUCAGGGCCAGAAAUAGUCUAACUAGCAGCACCCGUGCAAAUUGCACAGAACUGCAGGGAUUCUGCUCCGUGCGUCAUGAUUGGGUUUGUAGCGAAGCCCGGUACAAUAUUCCCCCUCAGCAGAAACGUCCCUCUUGCCCGAAAUUGGAGAAUAAAUCACCGUUUUCACGUUAAAUAGCGGCUAUAUCGCUUAACAAACUUAAACUGAAUAAACUUCGGCCAAAUCCGCAGCAAUAGGUCAAAAUUUGGUGUUGCUACGAUGGGUUUUAAGUGCCUAAAAAAAAUAAAUAAAUAAAUAAAAAGAAUAAACUUCGGCCAAAUCCGCAGCAAUAGGGCAAAAUUUGGUGUUGCUACAAUGGGUUUAAGUGCCUAAAAAAAUAAAUAAAUAAAUAAAUAAAUAAACUUUGGCCAAAUCCGCAGCAGUAGGGCAAAAUUUGGUGUUGCUACGAUGGGUUUAAGUGCCAAAAAAAAAAAAAAAAAAGAAUAAACUUCGGCCAAAUCCAUGCCCAUAGGCAAAAUUUGGUGUUGCUAUGAAUGGUUUAAGUGCCUCAAA